AUUGAACGCUGGCGGCAUGCCUAACACAUGCAAGUCGAGCGGAUGAAGGGAGCUUGCUCUUGGAUUCAGCGGCGGACGGGUGAGUAAUGCCUAGGAAUCUGCCUGGUAGUGGGGGAUAACGUCCGGAAAGGGGCGCUAAUACCGCAUACGUCCUGAGGGUGAAAGUGGGGGAUCUUCGGACCUCACGCUAUUAGAUGAGCCUAGGUCGGAUUAGCUAGUUGGUGGGGUAAAGGCUUACCAAGGCGACGAUCCGUAACUGGUCUGAGAGGAUGAUCAGUCACACUGGAACUGAGACACGGUCCAGACUCCUACGGGAGGCAGCAGUGGGGAAUAUUGGACAAUGGGCGAAAGCCUGAUCCAGCCAUGCCGCGUGUGUGAAGAAGGUCUUCGGAUUGUAAAGCACUUUUAGUUGGGAAGAAGGGCUGUGAGUUAAUACCUUGCUGUUUUGACGGUACCUAAAGAAUAAGCACCGGCUAACUACGUG
RNAcentral lists this ribosomal RNA (484 nucleotides) under uncultured bacterium. RNAcentral describes it as "partial 16S ribosomal RNA". It matches the Rfam family "Bacterial small subunit ribosomal RNA", at positions 30 to 507 of the family's 1533-position model. The record is from RNAcentral.